GGUUCAAACAAAGGCCAAAGCCGGCAAAUUAAAUACUUGGCAAACCAGUGAGCGCAACCGAAUGGAUACCGUCGAACCUUGAACGUACCUCGAGGGACAAAACAAAUCCGUACCUCCGCAGAAGUCUCCCAAGUGAUGGAAAAAAGAUCAAAUGUGAUCACUUGAAUCUUUAUUUUCUCAUGAAGUCUGACGGGAUCCUUCGGGUCAUUGUCCAUCUGCACUGUGAAGCACCUGCUGGCAAAUGAGUUCUGAAGCACUUGGCUGAAGUUGAGCAGAUUGCCCGGUGGUGGUGGUGGUGGUGGUGAGAGCCAAAAAGGUGGGAACUGUGUCCAUAUCCCAAUAUUUCUAGACCUGACCAGUCACGUUGUACUUAAAGUCGAAAUAACUCCCGUAUAGACGCUUUGGGAACACGUAGGGCGAGACAGCGCAAAGGUCCAAUCAGCUUUUGAAGCCAUUUUGAUUCAAACCUGCUCACCUUUGGCGCUUCUUUUCUUUCAAACUGGUAAUUAGGCGAGCCAGUCGUAAGCAUCGGGGACGUUAUUGCAGCAGAGCAAAGAGGAUCAGAUUAUCUCCAGCGCUAAUCUCACGCUCACUUUCUUUUAUUUUUCACUUUCAUCUUUAAAUCCCACCAAGCCGAUUACAUAUUGACUGAAUUUACUUAUUCGAGCCCAACCAACACACACAAAAAUAAAAAUAAUAAUCGCCGCCACUGUGAGCACUUGAUGGAUUGCAUCGUGCAUUUCACUUGGAUUGCAUUUGGCGCACGCAGGUGUAAACGUUGACGUUUCCGAAACGCACGUUUUCGUAAAGUAGCUUAGCCGAAUGGAAUGCGGUUCGUCAUUAGCGUGAGAGAUUCCUCGUGCUGCAGCUUGGACAGGUCAAAAGUCUGUUGACCGUUCCGCAAACACCUAAUAAACACAAUGACUAAAUAACAUGUGCGUAAAUAAUCAACGGGCAAUACAUGGCGCAAGUAUUGUGGAUUUCGCUGGCGCCUCACUUUCAACGACCGCAUAAGGGCGGGUCCUCCAAAACAGUCCCCAGAAUUUGGAUAGAUGUUGAGUCUGAAAUUUCAUCUUUUUCAGGUUGGGCUCUAAUUGUAGAAAUAUUCACGGUUCCUUAAGUAGAGUGGUGCCUUGAGAUCCAAGUUGAAUGAAUUGUAGCGCUGCAUAAUUUUUAUUUUAUUAAAUUUAUUUAUAAUAAUUUAUAAAAUUUAUAAAAAUAAUUUAUUUUUAUAAUUAUUAAUUUUAAAAGCUGCAUUUUUUUUCUCUUUCUUCUUUCUUCUUUCUACAUACAUUCUUGCUGCUGGAGGCUGUAAAUUUCCCCAGUGUGGGACGAAUAAAGGAUAUCUUAUCUUAUCUUAUCUUAUUAUAAUGUAAUUUGCGUCAUCGACUCAAAUUAAAAAUAAUCUAACAGUUGUUUGUCACACUGCAAUCAAUUGUGUGGCCCUUGCCACGUGGGGGCACUACGAGACAGACCGACAAAUUCCUGUUCUUUGAGAAGUCUCAGCUCCUCUCUCGGAUCAUCAGUAUGGCGCUAAUAGUAGUUCUACGCAGAGGAUAAAGAAUUCAUGAGAGUGAUUAUUCUUAUAUCAAGCUGCGAAAGCGCCACAACAUAGAUGCCGAUUCUCAUUAGCAUUUGGCUAGCUAUGUGGUUGAUUUUAACACACCACGCGGUAGAAGAAGAAUUGUUCCGUAUUUGCUAAAGUGCUUCUUCUUGUGAAGUGACUUGAACUGAGUUGACCGCCAUCACUGCGUGGCCGUAUCUCAAUUUUGUUCAAAGUUGAGUGACGGUUCGUAUCUCGAAAGACUCGCGACCCGGAGUCGCUUUUAUCUCAAGGCAGCGCCGUCCAUUUUCUGAUUCCACCGCUUGUAGAAGAGCGCUGAAAGAUCUCUUUUGACCCAAAAGGGAAGGUUACAAACGGGACCGUUAGUGUCAAGGGCUGAGCGCCGCCACCUGUUUACCGCGGC
Hippocampus zosterae (dwarf seahorse) is the source of this 1967-nucleotide long non-coding RNA. RefSeq lists it as uncharacterized. The transcript has 3 exons. Lineage: Eukaryota; Metazoa; Chordata; Actinopteri; Syngnathiformes; Syngnathidae. The record is from RefSeq and is a predicted model, not a curated record.